UACGUAGGUGGCGAGCGUUGUCCGGAAUUACUGGGCGUAAAGGGUGCGUAGGCGGUUUAUUAAGUCAGAUGUGAAAUUCCGGGGCUCAACUUCGGAAUUGCAUUUGAAACUGGUAGGCUAGAGUGCAGGAGAGGAAAGCGGAAUUCCUAGUGUAGCGGUGAAAUGCGUAGAUAUUAGGAAGAACACCAGUGGCGAAGGCGACUUACUGGACUGUAACUGACACUGAGGCAUGAAAGCGUGGGGAGCAAAC
Molecule: ribosomal RNA, 250 nt
Filed under: uncultured bacterium
Lineage: Bacteria
Description: partial 16S ribosomal RNA
Rfam family: Bacterial small subunit ribosomal RNA
Source: RNAcentral